GCCCCUUCUUCAUCACCUACUCCUGCUCCAGUGCCACAUCCUCACAACCAUCAUCACCACCAUCACCAUCAUCACCACCAUCAUCACAAUGCCCAUAUUGCUCCCACAAUUGCAGCAGCACCUGUGCCUGCAUCUUGGAAAAGUUCUCCUGCACCUGAGAAAAGUUCACCUGCACCUGAGAAAAGUUCACCUGCACCUAAGAAAAGUUCACCUGCACCCAAAAGUUCUCCUGCACCUGAAAGAAGUUCUCCUGCACCUGAAGGAAGUUCUCCUGCACCUGAGAGAAGUUAUGAAGCAAGGCCUCCUGGUUGCCAAAAUGGGCAUAAAAGAAAGUUCACGAGCAAGACCAAAAAGCCAGCUCAAUCAGUCCCUACUGUUGCACCAAGGAUUUCUCCGCACUAUUCUGCGGCCUCACCUCAUCCACAGGUGGGCCCACCUGGGACUGUCACCCAUGCAGUUCCUGCACUAAGUCCUUUGCCAAGCAUAGUUCUAGCUCAUGCUCAGCCCCCAUCAAAAAGUGAAUUUGAUGCAAAGCCUCCAGACAUAAUGCCAUCAUUUCCACCGUCACCAUCCUCAUGUAAGUUUAAAUUUAAAAGAAUGAUUUUAGUUCAGCGCUUUUUCACAUUCACAAGUGCACAUAUAUUAGCUUCUUAUCAAAUCUCACUUGCUUAAGACUUAAUUUUUUCUCAGUAGCCUUUCUUGUGCAUCCAAAAUUGGUAAGGUUUACUAUUAAAUAAGAUGUUUCUCUCAUGCCCAUCAUGCUUAUCAAAUAUUAAACUGAUUGGAGGUUAAGAGUUUAGAAAAAUCAUAUAGGGCUCUAAUAAGAGAUUAAUUUUUAGGGAAAAAUAUGAAUCUAUGGAUUGUAUGGCCACUGAUCUUGUGUUUCAUGCUUUCAAAGAUGAAGUUGAUUGGGGAUUACGUGUCUUCUAAGAAUUUUAUCAUGAUGUUUUUAGAAAGAUGAGACUUUAUUGAUUGGGUGGAUAACUGACAUUUGACUGACUUGGUUUUUAGCAAUUAUGAUGGCAAUGAGGAAAUCUUAUCUAAUGGUAGGCUUUACAAAAUGUGGAUUCAUAUAAACUUAAUAAGCAGUAUAAAGAUCAGAUAGGAAGUUCUAUCCCAGGUGAAAUUGCAAUGUUGGAGAUUAUUUAGAUCUGGGCAAUUUUAUCUUCUGAAAUUGUUGUUCGAGUAUUCCUUUUGUGUAGGGUAUUCAUGGAGUUGUUCAUGUGGCUAUUGUUCAUGUGUUCUUUAAUAAUCUGCUUCUUUCUUACAAGCUCUCUUAUUGCCUGUUGGUUGUUGAAGCAUUAUAUUUGUUUGUUUGAUUGUAUUUGUAGAUAGAUGCUUAAUAAAUGUAGCACUAGUUUCUUUCUUUUGCUUAUCAUGGUCUAGUUAGUGACUUAAACCCUUAAAAUCAAUGCAAUGUUUUGUUUAGAAGUUGUCUUUUGGAUGCCAAUAUGCUGUUUCUUGCAGAUGCUGCAGGUCUUGUUCCUACUGUUCAAUGGGUAUUUCCACUAUUUCUAGCUUUUGUAUUACAUUUGUAACGGCAGAGAAGGAGAAGCGUUAUGCUUCCUAGUUAAAAUAUCUUCUCCAAUAUUCGAUGAAGGACUCGCUUUGUAUCAUUCAAUUCAAAUGAGCGAGAAAAUUGGAGGAGCUUUGCAAGUGGGAGCAACGCAAAAGGGCGUGCCUCACAUCCGAGUGGAUAUAAGGUGUUUUUGUGCAUGUAAAUAUUUCAUCAAAAAAAAAAAUCAGUUGGCUGAUGUGUUUUCAGGUCAAAGUCACAGAGGUGGCAGGCCCUUGAUGACAUGCAUUGCCGCUGUUUUGUGUAUGAUUUUUCUUCUGCAGAAAUGUAAGGGGGAUAAAACUCAACAAAUAUAUGACACUGCCUUUUUGUUUCUCUUUGCCUCCAAGUCCAUCAGGUAUGGUUUCUAACCAUGAAACCUCCGAACUCUGUUUCCUUCACUAAUCUGUUGAACAUUGUGAAACUUUGUGUUGCCGAUAAAUAAGGGAUCUUCAGUGUUCAAAAUGGGGUUGAUAAAACCAAAUUGUUAUAAUUUGUGAGAGAAUGAAUGAUUGGAGGCAGCUUGCAUGAAGCUUCAUUCCAGAGCAUUGUUCUUGAAUACCUUAUUAGAAAAGACUGAUGUCCAGGGGUGGAUGAUUAACGUGCUCCAUUUAGUAGAAGUGUCAUAACCUGCUAACAUCAAGUUUACAAACACUUAUAACCUAGUCUCCCUCCCUCGAAGGGGAAAAAAAAACCCUGAAACAGAAAAUGCUGAUAUGCCUGGAGGUUGCCCAAUGGCUGACUGUAGCAAAGGUUACCUCCAUCCUCGACCUCAGGACCCAACACAAGAUUUAGGACAAAGGGAGCUUAACUAAUGGCACCUGACAAAGAGCAAACAGCUUGAAUGAAAGGGUUCGUUUUGACCAUGAAAGAGUAGAUAAGCCGCGGUACCCUGUCUUUGUUUCUAUUGCAAUGCUAGGAGAAAAUCAAUAGCAGCACCAGAUCAAUUGACUAAGUGCUGAGAAGUAUUGGAAGGUCAUGUUGGGUGGGCUAGCUUACAUCUGCAUCUGGUAUAUAAAAUUGCCCAUAUAAUAUGGCGAUAGUUUUGGUUGGUUGCACCAUCCUUGACCUUGACAACUACAAGCAUGGUAAAAUGAAAUGGAUCCAAAAUAGGGCACCAUGUCUUGCGCAACACAUUUCCUUAACGUAAUUUCAGGAAGUCUGGUCUCCUUGACUUUCAUGGGUAGUGCUUGAAUAUUUAAGCAUCCUCGUACUAAUGGACCAUGCACUUACAAUAUUGUGAAUAUUUUGUAGAAUUUCUCAAGAUGGUUUGAUGAUGGCGUGUAAAGUGUGAAAAGUUGAUUAGGUAAUUCUACUGUAUCAAUUGACUAUUUUGCCUUUUUAAGUAUACAAAUGAGUGCAAGUUUAAAAUUGGUAAAGAGAGUUGAGAAAAGUAGUUCAUGGAUAUCAAAGACAGAAAAUGAUGAGCAGGUAUGAAUUAAGCCAUGGUGGCUUAAAUGCGUUUAAACCUUUAUGCUGUGUUUGGAUCAGGAAAAUGGCAAGGAAAGAGAACAAAUGUCUGG
This 3078-nucleotide long non-coding RNA is filed under the name Vitis vinifera (wine grape). RNAcentral describes it as "long non-coding RNA (VVIN_LNC002510)". Lineage: Eukaryota; Viridiplantae; Streptophyta; Magnoliopsida; Vitales; Vitaceae. The record is from RNAcentral.